Molecule: ribosomal RNA, 496 nt
Filed under: uncultured bacterium
Lineage: Bacteria
Description: partial 16S ribosomal RNA
Rfam family: Bacterial small subunit ribosomal RNA
Source: RNAcentral
GAUGAACGCUGGCGGCGUGCCUAAUACAUGCAAGUCGAGCGAACAGAUAAGGAGCUUGCUCCUUUGACGUUAGCGGCGGACGGGUGAGUUACACGUGGAUAACCUACCUAUAAGACUGGAUAACUUCGGGAAACCGGAGCUAAUACCGGAUAACAUAUUGAACCGCAUGGUUCAAUAGUGAAAGGCGGCUUUGCUGUCACUUAUAGAUGGAUCCGCGCCGUAUUAGCUAGUUGGUAAGGUAACGGCUUACCAAGGCAACGAUACGUAGCCGACCUGAGAGGGUGAUCGGCCACACUGGAACUGAGACACGGUCCAGACUCCUACGGGAGGCAGCAGUAGGGAAUCUUCCGCAAUGGGCGAAAGCCUGACGGAGCAACGCCGCGUGAGUGAUGAAGGUCUUCGGAUCGUAAAACUCUGUUAUCAGGGAAGAACAAAUGUGUAAGUAACUGUGCACAUCUUGACGGUACCUGAUCAGAAAGCCACGGCUAACUACGUG